GGGGAAUAUUGCGCAAUGGGGGAAACCCUGACGCAGCAAUACCGCGUGAGUGAAGAAGGUUUUCGGAUCGUAAAGCUCUGUUAUAAGGGAAUAAAGUGAGGCACGUGUGCCUUAUUGUAUGUACCUUAGGAAAUAGCAUCGGCUAACUACGUGCCAGCAGCCGCGGUAAUACGUAGGGGACAAGCGUUGUCCGGAUUUACUGGGCGUAAAGGGCACGCAGGCGGUUUUUUAAGUCAGAUGUGAAAGGUACCGGCUCAACCGGUAACAUGCAUUUGAAACUGAAAGACUUGAGUAUUGGAGAGGCAAGUGGAAUUCCUAGUGUAGCGGUGAAAUGCGUAGAUAUUAGGAGGAACACCGGUGGCGAAGGCGGCUUGCUGGACAAAUACUGACGCUGAGGUGCGAAAGUGUGGGUAUCAAACA
This 420-nucleotide ribosomal RNA is filed under the name uncultured Acetobacterium sp. RNAcentral describes it as "bacterial SSU rRNA". It matches the Rfam family "Bacterial small subunit ribosomal RNA", at positions 356 to 774 of the family's 1533-position model. Lineage: Bacteria; Bacillati; Bacillota; Clostridia; Eubacteriales; Eubacteriaceae. The record is from RNAcentral.